This is a long non-coding RNA of Carlito syrichta (Philippine tarsier), 346 nucleotides long. RefSeq lists it as uncharacterized. The transcript has 2 exons. Lineage: Eukaryota; Metazoa; Chordata; Mammalia; Primates; Tarsiidae. The record is from RefSeq and is a predicted model, not a curated record.
AGAUGAUCCUUCUGCCUCAAUCUUCCCAGUAGCUGGAACCACAGAAUGUGGCAGCAAUGAAGUUGUGCUAUUUCCAGAUCCAUGUUUACCCUUUGGGCAUGUUCCUACUCCCGUGUAAGAAAGCCUAGACUAGACUACAAAGUGAUGAGAGUCCAUGUGGAAAGAAAAUCCCGUCCAACAGCCAGCACCAAGGCCCAGAUAUGUGAGUGAGGACAUCUAAGACCCACCAGCCACAGCUGAGCUGCAAGAUGACUGCAACCUCCUGAGUGAUGCCAGCAGAAGAACUGCUCAGCUGAGCCCAGCCCAAACUGCAGAAUCAUGAUGAAAUAAAGGAUUGUGACUUUAA